GACGAACGCUGGCGGCGUGCUUAACACAUGCAAGUCGAACGGAAAGGCCCUGCUUUUUUGGGGUGCUCGAGUGGCGAACGGGUGAGUAACACGUGAGUAACCUGCCCUUGACUUUGGGAUAACUUCAGGAAACUGGGGCUAAUACCGGAUAGGAGCUCCUGCUGCAUGGUGGGGGUUGGAAAGUUUCGGCGGUUGGGGAUGGACUCGCGGCUUAUCAGCUUGUUGGUGGGGUAGUGGCUUACCAAGGCUUUGACGGGUAGCCGGCCUGAGAGGGUGACCGGCCACAUUGGGACUGAGAUACGGCCCAGACUUCUACGGGAGGCAGCAGUGGGGAAUAUUGCACAAUGGGCGGAAGCCUGAUGCAGAAACGCCGCGUGCGGGAUGACGGCCUUCGGGUUGUAAACCGCUUUCGCCUGUGACGAAGCGUGAGUGACGGUAAUGGGUAAAGAAGCACCGGCUAACUACGUG
Molecule: ribosomal RNA, 468 nt
Filed under: uncultured bacterium
Lineage: Bacteria
Description: partial 16S ribosomal RNA
Rfam family: Bacterial small subunit ribosomal RNA
Source: RNAcentral